This 479-nucleotide ribosomal RNA is filed under the name uncultured bacterium. RNAcentral describes it as "partial 16S ribosomal RNA". It matches the Rfam family "Bacterial small subunit ribosomal RNA", at positions 28 to 507 of the family's 1533-position model. The record is from RNAcentral.
GAUGAACGCUAGCGGGAGGCCUAACACAUGCAAGCCGAGCGGUAUUGUUUCUUCGGAAAUGAGAGAGCGGCGUACGGGUGCGUAACACGUGUGCAACCUGCCUUUAUCUGGGGGAUAGCCUUUCGAAAGGAAGAUUAAUACUCCAUAAUAUAUUGAACGGCAUCGUUUAAUAUUGAAAGCUCCGGCGGAUAGAGAUGGGCACGCGCAAGAUUAGCUAGUUGGUGAGGUAACGGCUCACCAAGGCGAUGAUCUUUAGGGGGCCUGAGAGGGUGAUCCCCCACACUGGUACUGAGGCACGGACCAGACUCCUACGGGAGGCAGCAGUGAGGAAUAUUGGUCAAUGGGUGCAAGCCUGAACCAGCCAUCCCGCGUGAAGGACGACUGCCCUAUGGGUUGUAAACUUCUUUUGUAUAGGGAUAAACCUACCCUCGAGAGGGUAGCUGAAGGUACUAUACGAAUAAGCACCGGCUAACUCCGUG